Non-coding RNA from Salvelinus sp. IW2-2015, 688 nucleotides. The record is from RefSeq and is a predicted model, not a curated record. Lineage: Eukaryota; Metazoa; Chordata; Actinopteri; Salmoniformes; Salmonidae.
AGGAGGAAGCAGCCUGCACAAAGGGGCAGAGUAGGAGAGAGCCAAGUGCGUUAUGAAGAGUGGGAAAAGAGAGAGCAAUAUCAGUGAGAGUACCCGUUGUGACCUGGACUGACAGACUACCUCCCUUGUGUACUGGACCGGAUUGGCUGAGGACCCGAGUGUGAGGAUUACCCCUGUAAAACGGAACGGACAACGAGAACGGCUUGUGGACUGUGAGGUUCUCCUCGUCCUCCUUGAUCACAAUCUCCAUCAGAGACAUCCAGUUGACCAGCUCCGAGAUUGCGUGGCGAGAGGCCAGCUUCUCCAUUUGAAGCUGAGGAAAAGAAACGGGCCAAUAUAUGAAAGAUUUCCAGACGUUCUAGAGCAGACUGCUGCCAGCCAUUUAGCUCUGCAUACUCCUUCUGGUACCUGGACAUCAAAUGGAGAGGAACCGGUUGAGUGGGUGCUAUUCAAACUCUCCAAAAUAUCCACUUACAUACAGUACAGACCUGGGUUCAAGUCGUGUUUAUUUAUUUUUUCAAAUAAUUUGAGUUCUUGUUUGAGACCUGCCUUAAGUGACAGAAGGAUGGGGUUGCACUUUUUGGGACUAUUUAAUUGAUCCCACUGCGCCAGGCAAGCUCAAUGAAGCGCAGCUAAAGAAUUCGAGAAAAAAAAUCACAUACAUGGCACUUUAAAUAACAUCCCUUGG